UCUUUUUGCUGACGAGUGGCGACGGGUGNGUAAAGCUUGGGAAUCUGUCUUAUGAGGGGGAUAACUCGGGAAACUGUAGCUAAUACCGCGUACAUCUUAGGAUUAAAGUNUGGGCUCUUCGGACCACACGCCAUAAGUUGAGCCCAAGUGGGAUUAGGUAGUUGGUGGGGUAAAGGCCUACCAAGCUGACGAUCUCUAGCUAGUCUGAGAGGAUGACCAGCCACACUGGAACUGAGACACGGUCCAG
This 247-nucleotide ribosomal RNA is filed under the name uncultured bacterium. RNAcentral describes it as "partial 16S ribosomal RNA". It matches the Rfam family "Bacterial small subunit ribosomal RNA", at positions 102 to 334 of the family's 1533-position model. The record is from RNAcentral.